Long non-coding RNA from Triticum dicoccoides, 1658 nucleotides. RefSeq lists it as uncharacterized. The transcript is spliced from 6 exons. The record is from RefSeq and is a predicted model, not a curated record. NCBI's taxonomy places the organism in Eukaryota, Viridiplantae, Streptophyta, Magnoliopsida, Poales, Poaceae.
AGCCCAAUCCGCUCACUUCCUCGAGCCCCACGCAACUCCACUUUCUCUUAAUUUCUCUCCUCCUCCUCCUCCUCGAUUUCCAGCGCGUGGCCGCCGCCGCUCAUCCUUCUCCUCUUCUCUCCCGUGCCACCAGGUCGCUGCUCCUCCAUAACACUGGCCGCUCCACCUCGCCUUCCUUCUCUUUGUUGUCCGAUGGCCAUCGGCGGCGCCUGGAUCUGGAUCGGGUGCAGGUUAGUUGAGGCCAUUGGUUGCGUGAAUCCGGGCGGAUCCGGUCACUAGGCGGCGUGAGGCUGCGGAUCCGACGAGGUCACGGCGGCGGCCGGUGGCUUUUUGUUGUGCUCUGCGAGAGACAACGGGAGGAGAAGGAACAAAGAGGAGGGAGGGAUGCGGCAGGGCCACAGUUGCUUUGGUCAUUGUUGUUAGCUGUGGGGAGGCAUGCUGAACCUGCCGGCUCGACCAGGAGCUGCAGGUGCAGAGGCGCGUGCGAGGAGCGUCGUCGGUCGCCCGUCCUUCUUUCUUCGUCAGGAAGGGCGCAGCCUGCUACUCAAGCCCCUCUCCUCCUCUCCUUGCAGAGGAACGACCUUCUCCUUCCCCAUUUAUCUUGCACUGCUGUGCUCUUGCCAAAGCAGCUCCUAACCAAGCAUUCGCUGCUCCUCAACUCUCAGCAGGAAAGGCACGGGCGCCACCACACUGGAGAGAUGGACGAGGACAUGAAGCUUUCGUGGAGACGACAAUGUGGACGCCGCUGCACCCCCACGCCAUGGACACGAAGAUUCCCAUCCUCUCUGCCCUCGAUAACCACUUCAGCGGUGCCAUGAACGGCAGCAACCGCCUCUUCUCGGCACACGCAGACCACAUGGCCGUCUUCCUCUCUGGCCUCUUCCACACCAACAGCUCAGGUCAACUAGGAGAUGAUGCAAGCCAAGGCGUUCACACUGAUUUAAUAUGUUUGCUCUAUGUUUGGUCAUAUUGUUCCUGGCGGUCCUGGAAGUAUCUUCAAGUUUUAAUAGAGGCAAUCCAUGGUCCUGAGAUCGACAAAGUUUGUGGCAUCCUUCUUCCUUAUGUAUUGCGUCUAAUUGCCUCUGGUCAUAAAUAGCAAGACACUGAUGGAGGAGCCAUCCAGCUCAUGCUGCGAUUGUUCCAGCUUUCCGUACUAAGAAAUCACUGACUGCCAGGAAACGGAAGUGGACUGUGUGCCAGAGAUGGAAGUUGUUAUUUGAAUGUGCCAUGUGUGGUUAAACUGAGCUGACUCCGAAUGUGCUUCAUGCAAUUAAAUUGAUCAGAGCAGUUUAUCUUUGCUUGUCAACUCUAUAUUAGUUGACAGACGAUCGCCGAGGCUCUCUGUCGCAGCUGUGUGCCUGAUCAACAAGCCAAAUAUUUCGAGUCUGCUUGCUAACGUGUCUGAAGAGAAGAUAUCAGUGAUGGUGGACCUGCUGAUGGUGGACCAAUGCGGUGAGACGUACCUGUUCCAUAUAACCAUGUGAAAGAAGUAAAUCCUUUCACCUUGAUGAGGCACUGUAAUCAACGGCCUAGCGCAAGCAUGCCAUAGCUCCUUGUAUAAUGUGUCGCUAGAAAUCCCUGCACAAAAGAUUCAUUAUGUGAACUAGGCAUAAAAUUCAAGGGCCUUUCACCUUAAUAUAUAAUGGCAGAUUCUAACA